CCUACGGGGGGCAGCAGUAGGGAAUCUUCGGCAAUGGACGAAAGUCUGACCAAGCAACGCCGCGUGAGUGAAGAAGAUUUUCGGAUCGUAAAACUCUGUUGGUAGAGAAGAACGUUGGUGAGAGAGGAAAGCGCAGCAAGUGCCGGUAACUACCAAGAAAGGGACGGCUACCUACUUGCCGGAAGCCGCGGUAAUCAGUAGGUCCCGAGCGCUGUCCGGAUUUAUUGGGGGUAAAGCGGGCGCAGGGGGUUUAUUAAGUCUGGUGUAAAAGGCAGUGGUUCAACCGUUGUAUGCAUUGGAAACUGGUAGACUUGAGUGCAGGAGAGGGGAGUGGAAUUCCAUGUGUAGCGGUGAAAUGCGUAGAUAUAUGGAGGAACACCGGUGGCGAAAGCGGCUCUCUGGCCUGUAACUGACACUGAGGCUCGAAAGCGUGGGGAGCAAACAGGAUUAGAUACCCGAGUAGUC
RNAcentral lists this ribosomal RNA (465 nucleotides) under uncultured Lactococcus sp. RNAcentral's name for it is "bacterial SSU rRNA". It matches the Rfam family "Bacterial small subunit ribosomal RNA", at positions 338 to 795 of the family's 1533-position model. The record is from RNAcentral. Lineage: Bacteria; Bacillati; Bacillota; Bacilli; Lactobacillales; Streptococcaceae.